RNAcentral lists this ribosomal RNA (497 nucleotides) under uncultured bacterium. RNAcentral describes it as "partial 16S ribosomal RNA". It matches the Rfam family "Bacterial small subunit ribosomal RNA", at positions 28 to 507 of the family's 1533-position model. The record is from RNAcentral.
GAUGAACGCUGGCGGCGUGCCUAAUACAUGCAAGUCGAGCGAACGGACGAGAAGCUUGCUUCUCUGAUGUUAGCGGCGGACGGGUGAGUAACACGUGGAUAACCUACCUAUAAGACUGGGAUAACUUCGGGAAACCGGAGCUAAUACCGGAUGAUAUUUUGAACCGCAUGGUUCAAAAGUGAAAGACGGUCUUGCUGUCACUUAUAGAUGGAUCCGCGCUGCAUUAGCUAGUUGGUAAGGUAACGGCUUACCAAGGCAACGAUUCAUAGCCGACCUGAGAGGGUGAUCGGCCACACUGGAACUGAGACACGGUCCAGACUCCUACGGGAGGCAGCAGUAGGGAAUCUUCCGCAAUGGGCGAAAGCCUGACGGAGCAACGCCGCGUGAGUGAUGAAGGUCUUCGGAUCGUAAAACUCUGUUAUUAGGGAAGAACAUAUGUGUAAGUAACUGUGCACAUCUUGACGAUACCUAAUCAGAAAGCCACGGCUAACUACGUG